AACUUAAUUCUUUUGAUUUUGGAGAAAUAAAAGCAUGGAAAUUAUUUAUACAUGUUAGUGAAAACGUACAAGUGAGUAAACCCUAAUAAUAAAUUAAUUGGUAUCAGGUUAGUUAAAAUAAAAAUUUAACUAGCUUUAGACAUCUAGUAAAAUAACCACGUUUUAAAUGAAACAAGAUGAAAUCUUAGACAGCAGUAAAGAAUACUAUACAAUUAAUGAAAGUUAGAUAUGAUUAUUAUCCUUAGCUUUGUCUAAUUAAGUGCCAGCAGACGCGGUUAAACUUAAGAAGCUAGUUUUUAUAUUAAAAUAGGUUAUUAGAUAUGUAAGAAAAACCUAAAGUAUGUUAAGAAAGUUUUUGAAUUGGUUAAAUAAACAAAAACCUUAAUACCAAAACAUAAAUAAUAACAUAAAGUUUUCUGAAAUAUGAAAAGAAAAAUAUCAAAUAGGAUUAGAUACCCUAGUAGAUUUUCAUGUAAACGGAUUAUGUUAACCUGAACAGUACACUUUUAAAAGUGAAAAUCAAAAAUUCUGGUUGUUUAUUUUCCAGUUAGAGGAAUAUGUUGUUUAAUUUGAUAAUCCACAAAAUAUCUUACCUAUUUUUGAAAAUCAGGUGCUGCAUGGUCGUCGAAAAUUUAGAUAUGUAAUCUAAAUAUAAACCUAUAUGGUUGAAGUCAGAUAUUAUGGCCCUUAUAAAUAGGGAUAUUACGUAUUACAAUUAUUAUAUAAAAUUAAAAGUAAAAUUAGAUGAAUUAUGGAAUUAAUUCAGUAAAGAGAAUUUAAAAGUAAAUGAAGAUAGAAGGCCUCAUUGAACAGGUUAAAAUAUGAGUACAAAUUGCCCGUCGCCUUUGUUAAUAAUAUAAGAUUAAAAACAGAGUAAGUCGUAACAUAGUGGGGGGAAGGGAACUUCUCCCUGUGAAAUUAUUUUU
RNAcentral lists this ribosomal RNA (926 nucleotides) under Rhizophysa eysenhardtii. Its description in RNAcentral is "12S ribosomal RNA". The stretch from base 494 to 913 matches the Rfam family "Microsporidia small subunit ribosomal RNA", at positions 752 to 1303 of the family's 1311-position model. The record is from RNAcentral. Lineage: Eukaryota; Metazoa; Cnidaria; Hydrozoa; Siphonophorae; Rhizophysidae.